GAGUCUUAACCGGGCGUUAAGUUGCAGGGUAUAGACCCGAAACCCGGUGAUCUAGCCAUGGGCAGGUUGAAGGUUGGGUAACACUAACUGGAGGACCGAACCGACUAAUGUUGAAAAAUUAGCGGAUGACCUGUGGCUGGGGGUGAAAGGCCAAUCAAACCGGGAGAUAGCUGGUUCUCCCCGAAAGCUAUUUAGGUAGCGCCUCGUGAAUUCAUCUCCGGGGGUAGAGCACUGUUUCGGCUAGGGGGCCAUCCCGGCUUACCAACCCGAUGCAAACUGCGAAUACCGGAGAAUGUUAUCACGGGAGACACACGGCGGGUGCUAACGUCCGUCGUGAAGAGGGAAACAACCCAGACCGCCAGCUAAGGUCCCAAAGUCAUGGUUAAGUGGGAAACGAUGUGGGAAGGCCCAGACAGCCAGGAUGUUGGCUUAGAAGCAGCCAUCAUUUAAAGAAAGCGUAAUAGCUCACUGGUCGAGUCGGCCUGCGCGGAAGAUGUAACGGGGCUAAACCAUGCACCGAAGCUGCGGCAGCGACACUGUGUGUUGUUGGGUAGGGGAGCGUUCUGUAAGCCUGCGAAGGUGGCCUGUGAGGGUUGCUGGAGGUAUCAGAAGUGCGAAUGCUGACAUAAGUAACGAUAAAGCGGGUGAAAAGCCCGCUCGCCGGAAGACCAAGGGUUCCUGUCCAACGUUAAUCGGGGCAGGGUGAGUCGACCCCUAAGGCGAGGCCGAAAGGCGUAGUCGAUGGGAAACGGGUUAAUAUUCCCGUACUUGGUGUUACUGCGAAGGGGGGACGGAGAAGGCUAUGUUGGCCGGGCGACGGUUGUCCCGGUUUAAGCGUGUAGGUGUGUGUUCCAGGUAAAUCCGGUUCACUUUAACACUGAGGCGUGACGACGAGGCACUACGGUGCUGAAGCAACAAAUGCCCUGCUUCCAGGAAAAGCCUCUAAGCAUCAGGUAACAUCAAAUCGUACCCCAAACCGACACAGGUGGUCAGGUAGAGAAUACCAAGGCGCUUGAGAGAACUCGGGUGAAGGAACUAGGCAAAAUGGUGCCGUAACUUCGGGAGAAGGCACGCUGACACGUAGGUGAAGUGAUUUACUCAUGGAGCUGAAGUCAGUCGAAGAUACCAGCUGGCUGCAACUGUUUAUUAAAAACACAGCACUGUGCAAACACGAAAGUGGACGUAUACGGUGUGACGCCUGCCCGGUGCCGGAAGGUUAAUUGAUGGGGUCAGCGCAAGCGAAGCUCCUGAUCGAAGCCCCGGUAAACGGCGGCCGUAACUAUAACGGUCCUAAGGUAGCGAAAUUCCUUGUCGGGUAAGUUCCGACCUGCACGAAUGGCGUAAUGAUGGCCAGGCUGUCUCCACCCGAGACUCAGUGAAAUUGAACUCGCUGUGAAGAUGCAGUGUACCCGCGGCAAGACGGAAAGACCCCGUGAACCUUUACUAUAGCUUGACACUGAACAUUGAGCCUUGAUGUGUAGGAUAGGUGGGAGGCUUUGAAGUGUGGACGCCAGUCUGCAUGGAGCCGACCUUGAAAUACCACCCUUUAAUGUUUGAUGUUCUAACGUGGACCCGUUACCCGGGUUGCGGACAGUGUCUGGUGGGUAGUUUGACUGGGGCGGUCUCCUCCUAAAGAGUAACGGAGGAGCACGAAGGUUGGCUAAUCCUGGUCGGACAUCAGGAGGUUAGUGCAAUGGCAUAAGCCAGCUUGACUGCGAGCGUGACGGCGCGAGCAGGUGCGAAAGCAGGUCAUAGUGAUCCGGUGGUUCUGAAUGGAAGGGCCAUCGCUCAACGGAUAAAAGGUACUCCGGGGAUAACAGGCUGAUACCGCCCAAGAGUUCAUAUCGACGGCGGUGUUUGGCACCUCGAUGUCGGCUCAUCACAUCCUGGGGCUGAAGUAGGUCCCAAGGGUAUGGCUGUUCGCCAUUUAAAGUGGUACGCGAGCUGGGUUUAGAACGUCGUGAGACAGUUCGGUCCCUAUCUGCCGUGGGCGCUGGAGAACUGAGGGGGGCUGCUCCUAGUACGAGAGGACCGGAGUGGACGCAUCACUGGUGUUCGGGUUGUCAUGCCAAUGGCACUGCCCGGUAGCUAAAUGCGGAAGAGAUAAGUGCUGAAAGCAUCUAAGCACGAAACUUGCCCCGAG
RNAcentral lists this ribosomal RNA (2143 nucleotides) under Salmonella enterica subsp. enterica serovar Enteritidis. RNAcentral's name for it is "partial 23S ribosomal RNA". It matches the Rfam family "Bacterial large subunit ribosomal RNA", at positions 679 to 2803 of the family's 2925-position model. Lineage: Bacteria; Pseudomonadati; Pseudomonadota; Gammaproteobacteria; Enterobacterales; Enterobacteriaceae. The record is from RNAcentral.